This 497-nucleotide ribosomal RNA is filed under the name uncultured bacterium. RNAcentral describes it as "partial 16S ribosomal RNA". It matches the Rfam family "Bacterial small subunit ribosomal RNA", at positions 28 to 507 of the family's 1533-position model. The record is from RNAcentral.
GAUGAACGCUGGCGGCGUGCCUAAUACAUGCAAGUCGAGCGAACAGACGAGGAGCUUGCUCCUCUGACGUUAGCGGCGGACGGGUGAGUAACACGUGGAUAACCUACCUAUAAGACUGGGAUAACUUCGGGAAACCGGAGCUAAUACCGGAUAAUAUAUUGAACCGCAUGGUUCAAUAGUGAAAGACGGUUUUGCUCUCACUUAUAGAUGGAUCCGCGCCGCAUUAGCUAGUUGGUAAGGUAACGGCUUACCAAGGCGACGAUGCGUAGCCGACCUGAGAGGGUGAUCGGCCACACUGGAACUGAGACACGGUCCAGACUCCUACGGGAGGCAGCAGUAGGGAAUCUUCCGCAAAGGGCGAAAGCCUGACGGAGCAACGCCGCGUGAGUGAUGAAGGUCUUCGGAUCGUAAAACUCUGUUAUUAGGGAAGAACAAAUGUGUAAGUAACUAUGCACGUCUUGACGGUACCUAAUCAGAAAGCCACGGCUAACUACGUG